Long non-coding RNA from Cinclus cinclus, 443 nucleotides. RefSeq lists it as uncharacterized. The transcript has 2 exons. The record is from RefSeq and is a predicted model, not a curated record. Lineage: Eukaryota; Metazoa; Chordata; Aves; Passeriformes; Cinclidae.
UGUGGGUGUGCGGCUCGCUGGCGUUUCCCACACUCGCCAGCCAAUCCAAGCCACGGGCAGCACAAUGGGAGAAGCAGCUAUUCCUGCAUGCUCCGGUGGCGGUGAAUAGCCGCGGACAAUGAACUUCUCCCCGAUGAGCAGCAUUCCAGGGGCGGCCCGGGCUUCACUCGCGGGAGGAGGAGGAGGAUGAAGGAGGAAGGAGGAGGAGGUCAGCUGGCCGUGGUGGGAAUGCCGCUCCCGGCAGCGCGCCCGGGCACACGCGGCAGCGGGCACAAGGCACACGCCAGCAGCUCCUGGCGACCAACAAUUCCUCAAACCCACCGACCUGCCCUCCGCUGUGAGCCCCCCCCCCACAGCCGCCUCUGGCACCAGCUUUGCCCAUGGGAAGCAGAAAAUGGCUUUCCCGCUUUGACUCACCGCAAAUAAAAAACAUUUAAUUUUAA